Molecule: long non-coding RNA, 1012 nt
Organism: Microtus oregoni (creeping vole)
Lineage: Eukaryota; Metazoa; Chordata; Mammalia; Rodentia; Cricetidae
Exons: 4
Source: RefSeq, a predicted model, not a curated record
GAAGCCCACAUGCCCCCAGACUUCAGAAGCAGUCCUGCUGCCAAGUCCUGCUGCCAAGCACUCACUUCCACACCCAGACGCACGAGCCCCACUUCAGCCCCCAGGAGAUAGAGAUGCUGAUGCAGAGGGUGGUACGCCGCCAUCCGCUGCUAUUGGAGCUCUGUGGGGCACACCAUCAUGGAAGCUUCGGGUGUGGAAGAGGAUCCUUCAGGCUGUGAACUCUGUGCUACUGCUGCACAUGACCUGAGUGACCGCAAGUGAAGAGACCUUUGUGGUGCUGUGCACACUAAACCUAUGAAGAGUUCUGUCCCUGGUCUUGUCCUCACUCCCAUUGGACCAUGGUAGCUGAGAACGUCUCGGUUUUUCUAUUCUUCAACACAAAGGCCAAGCAGGGGAGCCCCAGCCAGAAAUCUGCACUGUCUCCCAGCUGCAAAGCCACCUGAGCCAAGCCUGUCUGCUGCUUAUCCCUGCUCACGAGAAAGAAACCCUAUGGCAGCUGCGCUCAUGAAAGUGAAAGCAGUGCGUUCUCCCUACUGGAUGGAGGUAAGAGGACGAUCUCUCAAGAACACAGGGAGCAGGCUCUGCCGGGAGCUUCAGAAGAGAUGCAGCCUGCAGUCCACUCGACACCCAACCAGCCAGGAGAAGGAAGUCUGUCUUAAGCUGCCGCCUGUGGGACUGUGCUAACACAGCCAAGUUGGCUGCUUCAGAGAAGAGACUGAGAAGGGGCCCCUUCUACCUGAGUGUAUGUGUCGGAAUGGGAGAGGAGAAAACUGAGACACAGAGAUGCCAGGCAACUGAUCUGAUCCUAUGACAGCAGAAGGUGGAACUGGCUCUCCUACAUCCCUGAGACUAUUGUGUUGCAUACCCAGUUCCCACGUAUGCACUGGCCAUGUUGGCUGAGCCUGGGGCAGCAGGGUGGACAUGGGCUCCUACCCUUGACCAUAUGACUUCUCAGGAGCACACACUUCUAUUUGCAGACUGAAUCACACACUUUCUCCUUUGUUUGCUCAGA